CUUCUCGGCCUCCAUGUUUGCAUCUCAACUGCGUGCUCCAGGUCUCUAUCGUCCGUCUAGAGAGAGAGCUACAUCUCACUAGAAGGCCUUACUUUCUAGAGGCUGGGAAUUCCAAGAUCAAGGUGCCACAGACCUGAUGUCUGGACCAUUUACAG
Camelus dromedarius (Arabian camel) is the source of this 155-nucleotide long non-coding RNA. RefSeq lists it as uncharacterized. The transcript has 4 exons. The record is from RefSeq and is a predicted model, not a curated record. NCBI's taxonomy places the organism in Eukaryota, Metazoa, Chordata, Mammalia, Artiodactyla, Camelidae.